UAGGGAAUCUUCCACAAUGGACGCAAGUCUGAUGGAGCAACGCCGCGUGAGUGAAGAAGGCUUUCGGGUCGUAAAACUCUGUUAUUGAAGAAGAACGUGUGUGACAGUAACUGGUCAUGCAGUGACGGUAUUCAAUCAGAAAGUCACGGCUAACUACGUGCCAGCAGCCGCGGUAAUACGUAGGUGGCAAGCGUUGUCCGGAUUUAUUGGGCGUAAAGCGAGUGCAGGCGGUCUUUUAAGUCUGAUGUGAAAGCCUUCGGCUUAACCGAAGAAGGGCAUCGGAAACUGGGAGACUUGAGUGCAGAAGAGGAGAGUGGAACUCCAUGUGUAGCGGUGAAAUGCGUAGAUAUAUGGAAGAACACCAGUGGCGAAGGCGGCUCUCUGGUCUGUAACUGACGCUGAGGCUCGAAAGCGUGGGUAGCAAAACAGGAUUAGAUACCCUGGUAG
RNAcentral lists this ribosomal RNA (447 nucleotides) under uncultured bacterium. Its description in RNAcentral is "partial 16S ribosomal RNA". It matches the Rfam family "Bacterial small subunit ribosomal RNA", at positions 355 to 793 of the family's 1533-position model. The record is from RNAcentral.